This is a long non-coding RNA of Medicago truncatula (barrel medic), 814 nucleotides long. RefSeq lists it as uncharacterized. The transcript has 3 exons. The record is from RefSeq and is a predicted model, not a curated record. Lineage: Eukaryota; Viridiplantae; Streptophyta; Magnoliopsida; Fabales; Fabaceae.
UGUUUUUGUAGAUUUGAAUUCAAAUUUCAAAGGAAGUUAUGGUUAAUUGUCUUUUUGCGAUGGAAGUUUUUGCUAUGUAUUUAUUAAUUUGAAUAGGCAUUUUUCAGAUUGGUUUACUUUUUGAAGAUUAUCAUAUGUUUAUGUCCUCCGUAAUGAUAAAUUAUUUAAUUAAAUAUUAAGACGACCACUUGAUUUUACGAUCAAAUUCUACGGUGGUUGAAAGUUUUCCUAGCUUAUUUACAUGUUUGAUGUCUCAUUUUGUGUUGUUGAUGUUAUACGGGUCGUGGUAGUAUUGGACAAGGAGAACUAUUCUUUAGAAGAGCUUCUGGAUGAAUAGGAAAUAACACAGGAAUGCAUGGCCCUAAAUAGCCGUCUCAUUAACUUUUUAAGAGAGAUGCCUCAGGUUGAGCAAUUGUUUCACUAUGUACAUUGUUGAAUAAUCACCAAUUGAUGCUGAAAACAAACAAAUCUUCAAGUAUGCAGUUUUAACAAAUAAUUUGAUUAAAAAGAGCUUAUGUUUCAACUUUCUUAUUUACCUCAUUUUGGCAUCUGAUCAUUGAUCUAUGGUUUAGAUUUAUGUUCAUGGCCUACGAGAUCUUUAAGUGUAAAAUUGAUGUCAUUUUGAAGACCUUGGUUGAGGAAAAGGAGGUUUAUACUCCAUUUUCAUGACACACUUUGUUUUUUGUUCAUGGAUUUGUUGUUCUCCUUCUUGGAACCUGACCGUUCUCAAAGUCCGUUACUGGUUGGGUACUUCAACAAGGUUGUUCUUUGUCUAAUGGUUUGGAAAACGGCUUAACUUGUCAUUUAUGUUCAA